GGCUGAAAUUACGCCUUCAUGAAGCUGGAAUUGCUAGUAAUGGCAGGUCAGCAUACUGCCGUGAAUACGUUCCCGGGCCCUUGUACACACCGCCCGUCACACCAUGAGAGUUGGGAAUACCCGAAGCCUGUGAGCUAACUUAUAGAGGCAGCAGUCGAAGGUAGAAUCAAUGAUUGGGGUGAAGUCGUAACAAGGUACC
Molecule: ribosomal RNA, 199 nt
Filed under: uncultured bacterium
Lineage: Bacteria
Description: partial 16S ribosomal RNA
Rfam family: Bacterial small subunit ribosomal RNA
Source: RNAcentral